GAUGAACGCUGGCGGCGUGCUUAACACAUGCAAGUCGAACGAUGAAGCCCGGCUUGCUGGGUGGAUUAGUGGCGAACGGGUGAGUAACACGUGAGUAACCUGCCCUUGACUCUGGGAUAAGCCUGGGAAACUGGGUCUAAUACUGGAUAUGACUUCUCAUCGCAUGGCGGGGGGUGGAAAGAUUUAUUGGUCUUGGAUGGACUCGCGGCCUAUCAGCUUGUUGGUGAGGUAAUGGCUCACCAAGGCGACGACGGGUAGCCGGCCUGAGAGGGUGACCGGCCACACUGGGACUGAGACACGGCCCAGACUCCUACGGGAGGCAGCAGUGGGGAAUAUUGCACAAUGGGCGCAAGCCUGAUGCAGCGACGCCGCGUGAGGGAUGACGGCCUUCGGGUUGUAAACCUCUUUCAGUAGGGAAGAAGCGAGAGUGACGGUACCUGCAGAAGAAGCGCCGGCUAACUACGUG
This 466-nucleotide ribosomal RNA is filed under the name uncultured bacterium. RNAcentral describes it as "partial 16S ribosomal RNA". It matches the Rfam family "Bacterial small subunit ribosomal RNA", at positions 28 to 507 of the family's 1533-position model. The record is from RNAcentral.